GUCUUGAUGGCUGAGUGGUGUAAGGCAUUGUGUUCAGACUACAGUCUCCCCUGGAGCUGUUGGUUCAAGACCCUCUUCUGACA
This is a non-coding RNA of Megalops atlanticus (tarpon), 83 nucleotides long. The record is from the annotation of a GenBank genome assembly. NCBI's taxonomy places the organism in Eukaryota, Metazoa, Chordata, Actinopteri, Elopiformes, Megalopidae.